GAGUGCUAAAUUUAUCUUCAGACGAGCUACCGCGCCCGCCGCGAAUUGGAUCUCUAUGGAGGUGGCAUAGGCGAUAUCCCUGAGCUGAGAGCAUCGCCCGGCCCCCCGAAUCCUUCUUCCCUCUGUUUUGUUUUUCAUUUCUCCCCUUCCUCCCUUCCCCCCUCUCCCCUCCAGUCCGCGACGACUGGCUCUUGACCCCGUUCAGGCCUCGGUGAAGGCUUUUGGUUCCUCCCCUUCCACCCUAUCCCUUAAUUUUAUUUUUUUUGAAGCGUCUGCAUUUCAAGCUGCCAAGUUGGAGAGAGUGAUUGCAGAAGGGAGUGCUCCUCAUUUCAGCUCAUCAGAAUAAUUACUAGCCCUGAAAGGAGCCUUAAGAUGUAUGACGGUGUCAACAGUGAAUGUAUCUAAUGGCAGUAGGCAUCAGAAAGCUAGAAGAGAUUCCAAGAUACUGUAUAUCAUGAAAGGGGAUGAUAAAUUAUGGCCCCAUGCUGUCUGUUUUUAUAAAUAGAGAUUUAUUGGAACACAGUUGUGCCCAUUCUUUACCGUUGUGUCUAUGGCUGCUGCCAUGCUACAACUACAAAGCUGAGUAGUUGCAACAGAGACCAUACGGCCCAUCAGGUAAAA
RNAcentral lists this long non-coding RNA (621 nucleotides) under Balaenoptera musculus (blue whale). Its description in RNAcentral is "lncRNA (ENSBMSG00010009625.1)". Lineage: Eukaryota; Metazoa; Chordata; Mammalia; Artiodactyla; Balaenopteridae. The record is from RNAcentral.